UAAUUGAAGAGUUUGAUCAUGGCUCAGAUUGAACGCUGGCGGCAGGCCUAACACAUGCAAGUCGAGCGGUAACAGGGGAAGCUUGCUUCUCGCUGACGAGCGGCGGACGGGUGAGUAAUGUAUGGGGAUCUGCCCGAUAGAGGGGGAUAACUACUGGAAACGGUAGCUAAUACCGCAUAAUCUCUCAGGAGCAAAGCAGGGGAACUUCGGUCCUUGCGCUAUCGGAUGAACCCAUAUGGGAUUAGCUAGUAGGUGAGGUAAUGGCUCACCUAGGCGACGAUCCCUAGCUGGUCUGAGAGGAUGAUCAGCCACACUGGGACUGAGACACGGCCCAGACUCCUACGGGAGGCAGCAGUGGGGAAUAUUGCACAAUGGGCGCAAGCCUGAUGCAGCCAUGC
Molecule: ribosomal RNA, 398 nt
Filed under: Providencia rettgeri
Lineage: Bacteria; Pseudomonadati; Pseudomonadota; Gammaproteobacteria; Enterobacterales; Morganellaceae
Description: bacterial SSU rRNA
Rfam family: Bacterial small subunit ribosomal RNA
Source: RNAcentral